RNAcentral lists this ribosomal RNA (513 nucleotides) under Lactobacillus sp. B-9. RNAcentral's name for it is "bacterial SSU rRNA". It matches the Rfam family "Bacterial small subunit ribosomal RNA", at positions 154 to 653 of the family's 1533-position model. The record is from RNAcentral. Lineage: Bacteria; Bacillati; Bacillota; Bacilli; Lactobacillales; Lactobacillaceae.
AAACAGGUGCUAAUACCGGAUAAUAAAGCAGAUCGCAUGAUCAGCUUUUGAAAGGCGGCGUAAGCUGUCGCUAAGGGAUGGCCCCGCGGUGCAUUAGCUAGUUGGUAAGGUAACAGCUUACCAAGGCGACGAUGCAUAGCCGAGUUGAGAGACUGAUCGGCCACAUUGGGACUGAGACACGGCCCAAACUCCUACGGGAGGCAGCAGUAGGGAAUCUUCCACAAUGGACGCAAGUCUGAUGGAGCAACGCCGCGUGAGUGAAGAAGGUUUUCGGAUCGUAAAGCUCUGUUGUUGGUGAAGAAGGAUAGAGGUAGUAACUGGCCUUUAUUUGACGGUAAUCAACCAGAAAGUCACGGCUAACUACGUGCCAGCAGCCGCGGUAAUACGUAGGUGGCAAGCGUUGUCCGGAUUUAUUGGGCGUAAAGCGAGCGCAGGCGGAAAAAUAAGUCUAAUGUGAAAGCCCUCGGCUUAACCGAGGAACUGCAUCGGAAACUGUUUUUCUUGAGUGCAGAA